RNAcentral lists this ribosomal RNA (492 nucleotides) under uncultured bacterium. RNAcentral's name for it is "partial 16S ribosomal RNA". It matches the Rfam family "Bacterial small subunit ribosomal RNA", at positions 29 to 507 of the family's 1533-position model. The record is from RNAcentral.
AGUGAACGCUGGCGGUAGGCCUAACACAUGCAAGUCGAACGGCAGCACAGUAAGAGCUUGCUCUUACGGGUGGCGAGUGGCGGACGGGUGAGGAAUACAUCGGAAUCUACUUUUUCGUGGGGGAUAACGUAGGGACACUUACGCUAAUACCGCAUACGACCUACGGGUGAAAGCAGUGGAUCUUCGGACCUUGCGCGAUUGAAUGAGCCGAUGUCGGAUUAGCUAGUUGGCGGGGUAAAGGCCCACCAAGGCGACGAUCCGUAGCUGGUCUGAGAGGAUGAUCGGCCACACUGGAACUGAGACACGGUCCAGACUCCUACGGGAGGCGGCAGUGGGGAAUAUUGGACAAUGGGCGAAAGCCUGAUCCAGCAAUACCGCGUGAGUGAAGAAGGCCUUCGGGUUGUAAAGCCCUUUUGUUGGGAAAGAAAAGAAGCAGGUUAAUACCCCGCUGUUCUGACGGUACCCAAAGAAUAAGCACCGGCUAACUUCGUG